Molecule: ribosomal RNA, 492 nt
Filed under: uncultured bacterium
Lineage: Bacteria
Description: partial 16S ribosomal RNA
Rfam family: Bacterial small subunit ribosomal RNA
Source: RNAcentral
AGUGAACGCUGGCGGUAGGCCUAACACAUGCAAGUCGAACGGCAGCACAGUAAGAGCUUGCUCUUACGGGUGGCGAGUGGCGGACGGGUGAGGAAUACAUCGGAAUCUACUUUUUCUUGGGGGAUAACGUAGGGAAACUUACGCUAAUACCGCAUACGACCUACGGGUGAAGGCAGGGGAUCUUCGGACCUUGCGCGAUUGAAUGAGCCGAUGUCGGAUUAGCUAGUUGGCGGGGUAAAGGCCCACCAAGGCGACGAUCCGUAGCUGGUCUGAGAGGAUGAUCAGCCACACUGGAACUGAGACACGGUCCAGACUCCUACGGGAGGCAGCAGUGGGGAAUAUUGGACAAUGGGCGCAAGCCUGAUCCAGCCAUACCGCGUGGGUGAAGAAGGCCUUCGGGUUGUAAAGCCCUUUUGUUGGGAAAGAAAAGCAGCAGGUUAAUACCCCGCUGUUCUGACGUUACCCAAAGAAUAAGCACCGGCUAACUUCGUG